Molecule: transfer RNA, 74 nt
Filed under: Nanobdellota archaeon
Lineage: Archaea; Nanobdellati; Nanobdellota
Description: tRNA-Lys
Rfam family: tRNA
About the family: Transfer RNA (tRNA) molecules are approximately 80 nucleotides in length. Their secondary structure includes four short double-helical elements and three loops (D, anti-codon, and T loops).
Source: RNAcentral
GGGCCCGUAGCUCAGCUUGGUAGAGCAUCUGACUCUUAAUCAGGUGGUCGAGGGUUCAAAUCCCUCCGGGCCCG